CUCGAACCUAGUACUAGGAGAUCCAAAUUUACCUUAUCGAAGACGAGUUAGUCCUUUUUUUAACGAUUUAAUCCAAACUGAUAAUUUUCACUGUCGAAAAUACCCAUCACGAUGUCACUUCUUCUUAAUUCAGUUCCCCUUUUUCAUUUUCAUGUCUGAAACAACUCUCAUGUAAAGAACAGAUCCUAAACCUAAUCCCUUCUCCAAGCGUAAAUUUGAGAAUCAAACAAACAAUCGAUUAAAUUUGAUGCAACUUGAAAACCUAAAUCGUUAUCAGCAGUAACAUUUUUUUCUGAAGAUUAGUCCGGGGGGAAAACUGAUGAGAUUCAAGUUCAGAAGAGUUUAUCGUUGAAAGCGAAGAACGUAAAACUAGGAUCUGGGAUUUCUAGUGAGGGUUGCACUGUCAUGGGAUUGCAUUGCCUGUAUAUAAUAUAUUCAAGGCUAUUGAGAAGAAGGAUCCCGCUCAACAGAAAGAGGCUUAUAUACUGGGCAGGUGUCUCAUGUACUACCACAUUAAGUGUGUAUUUCUCGUGUGGCUCCAACAUCCAUCUGUUGCGAUGUAUGCAUAGAAGGACCAUAAAAUAUCGGGAUGUCUGUUUUAAGGAAACAGAGAGUGCAUGUAAUACAAGAAGAUUUUGAGAUUUUGGCAGCCAAAGUAAUGAAGAAGGAAACAUAAAAGAACAGGUCACUCAGAGUUUAAAAGUUGAAAUUAAAGUCAGCAAAGCUCAGAUUUGGGACACUUCUGGUCAAAAAAAGGGUGCUUGUGAGUCACUAACUAAAUCAUGUCUGUUGUGGAAGCAUUACAGAGGAUGAUACUCAAAAGCACAGUUGCACCCAAAAGUACUAGUGAAACCGUGAAAGUGAUGAUACUCACAACUCUUUUUCUUUUCUUUUUUGAGCAGACAGUUGCACCCGUAGCUCGAAACUGGUUUGAUCCGGUCUGGUCGAGUUGUCCAUGAUUUAAUUCAAUUUUUGUUGGGUCUAUCUUGCAGAUGGUCAUUGUUGAUGAUGACGACGAUAGAGAAAAUGAAGGAGAUCUAAUAAUGGCAGCAGAAUUAGCAACUCAUGAAGCUAUGGCGUUUAUUGUAAACCAUGGAAACUAAGAUUUUCUGAUGUUAAUAGCAUGCUUCUUAUGUGUUUAGGUACUUGCUAUGUGUUAAAUUUUUGUAGCACGCUUGUUAGUGGUGCUUAGGUGGACUAUUUAAGUUGCCUGUUGUCUUGUCUUUGGAUUUUUUAGAUUUUUGGAGAUGUGUACAUAUUUGUACACCAAUCUAAAUUAAGAUUUAAAAAAGUGAAAAUUAUAUAGUCA
Molecule: long non-coding RNA, 1309 nt
Organism: Papaver somniferum (opium poppy)
Lineage: Eukaryota; Viridiplantae; Streptophyta; Magnoliopsida; Ranunculales; Papaveraceae
Exons: 5
Source: RefSeq, a predicted model, not a curated record